Non-coding RNA from Danio rerio (zebrafish), 764 nucleotides. The record is from RefSeq and is a predicted model, not a curated record. Lineage: Eukaryota; Metazoa; Chordata; Actinopteri; Cypriniformes; Danionidae.
GCAAUCUUGAGGAGUUAAUCCCCACAUUUGAAGCACAGGAGCGAACCUUUCCUCGUUUUUAGGUCAAUUUGAAUACAAUUCAGAGGGGUGGCAUGGGGGCGCAGUGGGUAGUGCUGUCGCCUCACAGCAAGAUGGUCGCUUGUUUGAGCCUUGGAUGGGUUUCCCCUCCACAGUCCAAUGACAUGCGGUGUAGCUGAAUUGGGCAAACCUGUUGUUGCAUUGUCAUCUUCACUCGGGCCAAAAAAUUGCAGCAUGGUGCCAGGGUCAGUGGUUAACUAAUGCCAACACUGGCUGAUAGCUUGGUGUGUUAUGGCCUUAAUUGCUUCUAAAGAUUGGGACCAAUAUUGCUGAGUAUCUUCAUCCAUUGAAUUCAAGAAUCUAUUGAGUUUCCUCAUGUUCUCGUCCUUGGAGACCACCACUUCUUUCAAGCCUUUGCUCACGUGCUGUGCUAUUUAUUAUUGCAAAGUACAUUACUUGCCAAAGUGGACGUUUGCUAUAAAGCAUUCUACAUCUUUGGUGUGAACUACCCCAAGCAGUGUUCCCUGGUGUGGCAGACUGUGGUUUAUGGACAUCCUGGGGAGGAGACACUAGCAGUAAGGGUUCUGCUAGCAUUAAUUUUUGCUGACAAACAGUAAUCAUUAAUACUGUGACCUCACUGCUUUCUUGGAUUCUGUGUUCUUUAACUUGUACUUUGGAUUGUGGGGGAAAAGGAGCACCCAGAGAAAACCCACACGAACACGGGGAAAACAUGCAAACUCCACACA